This 581-nucleotide ribosomal RNA is filed under the name uncultured bacterium. RNAcentral's name for it is "bacterial SSU rRNA". It matches the Rfam family "Bacterial small subunit ribosomal RNA", at positions 324 to 895 of the family's 1533-position model. The record is from RNAcentral.
ACACGGCCCAGACUCCUACGGGAGGCAGCAGUAGGGAAUCUUCCGCAAUGGACGAAAGUCUGACGGAGCAACGCCGCGUGAGUGAUGAAGGCUUUCGGGUCGUAAAACUCUGUUGUUAGGGAAGAACAAGUGCUAGUUGAAUAAGCUGGCACCUUGACGGUACCUAACCAGAAAGCCACGGCUAACUACGUGCCAGCAGCCGCGGUAAUACGUAGGUGGCAAGCGUUAUCCGGAAUUAUUGGGCGUAAAGCGCGCGCAGGUGGUUUCUUAAGUCUGAUGUGAAAGCCCACGGCUCAACCGUGGAGGGUCAUUGGAAACUGGGAGACUUGAGUGCAGAAGAGGAAAGUGGAAUUCCAUGUGUAGCGGUGAAAUGCGUAGAGAUAUGGAGGAACACCAGUGGCGAAGGCGACUUUCUGGUCUGUAACUGACACUGAGGCGCGAAAGCGUGGGGAGCAAACAGGAUUAGAUACCCUGGUAGUCCACGCCGUAAACGAUGAGUGCUAAGUGUUAGAGGGUUUCCGCCCUUUAGUGCUGAAGUUAACGCAUUAAGCACUCCGCCUGGGGAGUACGGCCGCAAGGCU